Molecule: signal recognition particle RNA, 249 nt
Filed under: human gut metagenome
Description: Bacterial large signal recognition particle RNA
Rfam family: Bacterial large signal recognition particle RNA
About the family: The signal recognition particle (SRP) is a universally conserved ribonucleoprotein involved in the co-translational targeting of proteins to membranes. Archaeal SRP consists of a 7S RNA and homologues of the eukaryotic SRP19 and SRP54 proteins. In most bacteria, the SRP consists of a 4.5S RNA and the Ffh protein (a homologue of the eukaryotic SRP54 protein).
Source: RNAcentral
CAUGCUAGCCGGGAAGGUAGCGGCGUCCUGUACCCACAAUCCGCUAUAGUGGGGGUGAUGCCUGCUUUGAGGCUGUUCGAUUUUGUGGCUGCCCUUUAGAGAUGGCGUUGAAAGAUUGAGUCUUGUGCAAUAGAAACCUGUGAACCGUGUCAGAUCCGGAAGGAAGCAGCACUAAGCAGUCACUUUUAUGUGCCACGAGGUCGCUUGGUCCGAGCUGUUAAAAAAGGUAACGCAUAAGAAAGGCAGUCA